UACGGAGGGGGCAAGCGUUGUUCGGAAUUACUGGGCGUAAAGGGCGCGCAGGCGGCUGCUCAAGUCAGGCGUGAAAGGCCUGGGCUCAACCCGGGAAUUGCGCUUGAGACUGGGCUGGCUUGAGUGCGGGAGAGGUGAGUGGAACUGCGAGUGUAGAGGUGAAAUUCGUAGAUAUUCGCAAGAACACCAGUGGCGAAGGCGGCUCACUGGCCCGAUACUGACGCUGAGGCACGAAAGCGUGGGGAGCAAACAGG
RNAcentral lists this ribosomal RNA (254 nucleotides) under uncultured bacterium. Its description in RNAcentral is "partial 16S ribosomal RNA". It matches the Rfam family "Bacterial small subunit ribosomal RNA", at positions 524 to 776 of the family's 1533-position model. The record is from RNAcentral.